RNAcentral lists this ribosomal RNA (253 nucleotides) under uncultured bacterium. RNAcentral's name for it is "partial 16S ribosomal RNA". It matches the Rfam family "Bacterial small subunit ribosomal RNA", at positions 524 to 776 of the family's 1533-position model. The record is from RNAcentral.
AACGAACCGUGCGAACGUUGUUCGGAAUCACUGGGCUUAAAGGGCGCGUAGGCGGGUGUGCAAGUCUGUGGUGAAAGCCUCCAGCUUAACUGGAGAAGUGCCGUGGAUACUGCACAUCUUGAGGAGGGUAGGGGCAUCUGGAACGGUCGGUGGAGCGGUGAAAUGCGUUGAUAUCGACCGGAACUCCGGUGGCGAAGGCGAGGUGCUGGACCCUUUCUGACGCUGAGGCGCGAAAGCCAGGGGAGCAAACGGG